RNAcentral lists this ribosomal RNA (1274 nucleotides) under human gut metagenome. RNAcentral describes it as "bacterial LSU rRNA". It matches the Rfam family "Bacterial large subunit ribosomal RNA", at positions 959 to 2313 of the family's 2925-position model. The record is from RNAcentral.
AAUGCCGGAUAAUUGAUGUACGGGAGUCAGACAGUGUGAGAUAAGUUUCAUUGUCGAAAGGGAAACAGCCCAGACCCACAGCUAAGGUCCCAAAGUAUCGUUAAGUGGAAAAGGAUGUGGAACUGCCCAGACAACCAGGAUGUUGGCUCAGAAGCAGCCAUACAUUCAAAGAGUGCGUAAUAGCUCACUGGUCGAGUGGUUCUGCGCCGAAAAUUUAACGGGGCUAAACGAUACACCGAAGCUUGGGAUGCAGCAUUGGCUGCAUGGUAGGAGAGCGUUCUGUACGGGGUGAAGUCAUAGCGGAAGCGGUGGUGGACUGUACAGAAGAGAGAAUGCCGGAAUGAGUAGCGAGAUUUAUGUGAGAAUCAUAAAGGCCGAAAGACUAAGGAUUUAGAAGGAAGGUUCGUCCGCUUCUAGUUAGCCGGGAGCUAAGGCGAGGCCGAAAGGCGUAGUCGAUGCACAUACGGUGGAGAUUCCGUAGCCGCCUCUUAAUUUAAGCAAAGGGACACUUUCAAAGGGAAUGACCCGGGCGUUGGUAGCCCCGGGCGAAAGGGACCGAAAUUAGAGUAGGGAAGCAUUUCUGGAGGAAGGCGAGAAAAGCUUUGCGGAUAGAGAGAGGCGCCCGUACCGCAAACCGACACAGGUAGUCAGGAAGAGGAUUCUAAGGCCAACGGGAGAAGGGUAGUUAAGGAACUCGGCAAAUUGACCCCGUAACUUCGGAAUAAGGGGUGCUCCUGAAAAGGAGCCGCAGUGAAUAGGCCCAGGCGACUGUUUAUCAAAAACACAGCUCUCUGCUAAAUCGAAAGAUGAAGUAUAGGGGGUGACACCUGCCCGGUGCUGGAAGGUUAAGAGGAAGGGUGCAAGCUCUGAAUUGAAGCCCCAGUAAACGGCGGCCGUAACUAUAACGGUCCUAAGGUAGCGAAAUUCCUUGUCGGGUAAGUUCCGACCCGCACGAAUGGUGUAACGAUCUGGGCACUGUCUCAACUACCCACCCGGCGAAAUUGUAGUACCGGUGAAGAUGCCGGUUACCCGCGGCAAGACGGAAAGACCCCAUGGAGCUUUACUGUAGCCUGAUAUUGGGUUUCGGUAUUCUAUGUACAGGAUAGGCGGGAGACUGGGAACCGAUGGCGUCAGCUGUCGGGGAGUCACCCUUGGGAUACCGCUCUUAGAGUACUGGAAUUCUAACCUGCGGCCGUGAAUCCGGCCGGGGGACAUUGUCAGGUGGGCAGUUUGACUGGGGCGGUCGCCUCCAAAAAGGUAACGGAGGCGCUCAA